Molecule: transfer RNA, 96 nt
Filed under: Scleroderma citrinum Foug A
Lineage: Eukaryota; Fungi; Basidiomycota; Agaricomycetes; Boletales; Sclerodermataceae
Rfam family: tRNA
About the family: Transfer RNA (tRNA) molecules are approximately 80 nucleotides in length. Their secondary structure includes four short double-helical elements and three loops (D, anti-codon, and T loops). Further hydrogen bonds mediate the characteristic L-shaped molecular structure. tRNAs have two regions of fundamental functional importance: the anti-codon, which is responsible for specific mRNA codon recognition, and the 3' end, to which the tRNAs corresponding amino acid is attached (by aminoacyl-tRNA synthetases). tRNAs cope with the degeneracy of the genetic code in two manners: having more than one tRNA (with a specific anti-codon) for a particular amino acid; and 'wobble' base-pairing, i.e. permitting non-standard base-pairing at the 3rd anti-codon position.
Source: Rfam by way of RNAcentral
GGGUGCGUAGCGCAGUGGUAGCGCGUAUGCUUUGCAUUCAAUCGCCUAGCGAUUGGAAGUUGUAUAAGGUCCAGGGUUCAAUCCCCUGCGCAUCCA